CCUACGGGUGGCAGCAGUGAGGAAUAUUGGUCAAUGGGCGCGAGCCUGAACCAGCCAAGUAGCGUGAAGGAUGACUGCCCUACGGGUUGUAAACUUUUUUUUUAAAGGACUAAAGUGAGGCACGUGUGCCUUUUUGUAUGUACUUUAUGAAUAAGGAUCGGCUAACUCCGUGCCAUCAGCCGCGGUAAUACGGAGGAUCCGAGCGUUAUCCGGUUUUAUGGGGUUUAAGGGGGGCGUAGAUGGGUUGUUAAGUCAGUUGUGAAAGUUUGCGGAUCAACCGUAAAAUUGCAAUUGAUACUGGCAGUCUUGAGUACAGAUGAGGUAGGCGGAAUUCGUGGUGUAGCGGUGAAAUGCUUAGAUAUCACGAAGAACUCCGAUUGCGAAGGCAGCUUACUAAACUGCCACUGACAUUGAUGCUCGAAAGUGUGGGUAUCAAACAGGAUUAGAUACCCGUGUAGUC
Molecule: ribosomal RNA, 460 nt
Filed under: uncultured bacterium
Lineage: Bacteria
Description: partial 16S ribosomal RNA
Rfam family: Bacterial small subunit ribosomal RNA
Source: RNAcentral